Paramuricea clavata is the source of this 267-nucleotide non-coding RNA. NCBI's taxonomy places the organism in Eukaryota, Metazoa, Cnidaria, Anthozoa, Malacalcyonacea, Plexauridae. The record is from the annotation of a GenBank genome assembly.
CGUAGUUAAAAAUCAGAGGCGUGCCAGAUCUUGGAUAGAAAUUAAUCCUAGGAAUUUCGAGUAAGGACAUACUUUCAAAUUUCCAUGCUCAACAGGUAUAUAGUCAGGUAUUAAGCUAUCUGGAGAAUACGAUAAAUUUUUCAAGCAUGCAGAUUGUAAUAUUCUCACACCAGCACUUUUUAAUCCAAUUAUACGCUCUAUAUAUGGAAAAUUGUCAUCAUUUCUAAUCAUGAUGCUCUCCGAGACUCUGGGCUAAAUUUUUCGAGG